RNAcentral lists this ribosomal RNA (494 nucleotides) under uncultured bacterium. RNAcentral describes it as "partial 16S ribosomal RNA". It matches the Rfam family "Bacterial small subunit ribosomal RNA", at positions 28 to 507 of the family's 1533-position model. The record is from RNAcentral.
GACGAACGCUGGCGGCGUGCUUAACACAUGCAAGUCGAACGGAAAGGCCUGCUUUCCCUUGUGGAUUGCGGGUACUCGAGUGGCGAACGGGUGAGUAACACGUGAGUGAUCUGCCCCCAACUUGGGUAUAAGCCUGGGAAACUGGGUCUAAUUCCCGAUAGGACUGCAGGGUGGUGCCUGUGGUGGAAAACGAUUUUCUAGUGGUUGGGGAUGAGCUCGCGGCCUAUCAGCUUGUUGGUGGGGUAAUGGCCUACCAAGGCGGCGACGGGUAGCCGGCCUGGGAGGGUGGACGGCCACAUUGGGACUGAGAUACGGCCCAGACGCCUACGGGAGGCAGCAGUGGGGAAUUUUGCACAAUGGGCGGAAGCCUGAUGCAGCGACGCCGCGUGGGGGAUGACGGCCUUCGGGUUGUAAACUCCUUGCGACCGCGAGGAAGCCACCUGGUUGGAAGGGUGGUGACGGUAGUGGUAGAAGAAGCACCGGCUAACUACGUG